CCUACGGGAGGCAGCAGUGGGGGAUAUUGCACAAUGGAGGAAACUCUGAUGCAGCGACGCCGCGUGAGGGCAGACGUUCUUCGGAUUUUAAACCUCUGUCUUUGGGGAAGAAAAUGACGGUACCCAACGAGGAAGCUCCGGCUAACUACGUGCCAGCAGCCGCGGUACUACGUAGGGAGCGAGCGUUGUCCGGAAUUACUGGGUGUAAAGGGAGCGUAGGCGGGCGAGAAAGUUGAAUGUUAAAUCUACCGGCUUAACUGGUAGCUGCGUUCAAAACUUAUUGUCUUGAGUGAAGUAGAGGCAGGCGGAAUUCCUAGUGUAGCGGUGAAAUGCGGAGAUAUUAGGAGGAACACCAGUGGCGAAGGCGGCCUGCUGGGCUUUAACUGACGCUGAGGCUCGAAAGCGUGGGGAGCAAACAGGAUUAGAUACCCCUGUAGUC
This 439-nucleotide ribosomal RNA is filed under the name uncultured bacterium. RNAcentral's name for it is "partial 16S ribosomal RNA". It matches the Rfam family "Bacterial small subunit ribosomal RNA", at positions 338 to 795 of the family's 1533-position model. The record is from RNAcentral.